AGAGAUCAGUCUCUGCUUAUCGAAAGAUAAUUUGACAGAGUGGGGAUAGAGACAGCAUUCGCUCGUUUGGUCUGAAGCU
Molecule: long non-coding RNA, 79 nt
Organism: Maniola jurtina (meadow brown)
Lineage: Eukaryota; Metazoa; Arthropoda; Insecta; Lepidoptera; Nymphalidae
Exons: 3
Source: RefSeq, a predicted model, not a curated record